This 652-nucleotide unclassified non-coding RNA is filed under the name Hevea brasiliensis (rubber tree). The record is from RNAcentral. Lineage: Eukaryota; Viridiplantae; Streptophyta; Magnoliopsida; Malpighiales; Euphorbiaceae.
UUGGAGGAAACUCCAUUCUGAUCCCUUGCUUAUGAUUCGUCAGCGAGAGCAAGAAGCCCUUGCGCGUGUGAAGAACAACCCUGUCCAGAUGGCCAUGAUUCGUAAAUCUGUUGAAACAAUGAAAAAUAAGGAUAAGAUGCAUGAUGAGAAAGAGAAGGAUGAACGCAGACAUAAACAUCGAGACAAGAAAUCAAAGCCUCAUCAUUCGAAGUCAAAGCAUUUGAAGAAUUCACCUAGACAAACCUCUGAUGCAGAUGAAUACUUGAGUGAAGAUGAUUCUAGGAGAAAGAGAGAGUCUCGCAAGGACAAGAAGAUUAAUGAUCAGAAAGCUUCUAUCGUACGAGAUCCUCAAGGAGGCAAUGAUUUUUACAAAGAAAAAACUAAGAUUAGGAAUGAUAAUGAAGCUGUAAAACAUGAGAGGCAUGCAAGAUCUGAUCUGCCAAGGCAAGAAUCCCAUCGUAACUCUCGUGAGCAUACAAGGUCUGAUAUACCAAGGCAUGAAUCCCAUCGUAACUCUCAUGAGCAGACAAGAUCUGAUAUACCAAGGGACGAAUCCCAUCGUAACUCUCGUGAGCAUACAAGGUCUGAUAUACCAAGGCAUGAAUCCCAUCGUAACUCUCAUGAGCAGACAAGAUCUGAUAUACCAAGGGAC